Molecule: long non-coding RNA, 1658 nt
Organism: Wyeomyia smithii (pitcher-plant mosquito)
Lineage: Eukaryota; Metazoa; Arthropoda; Insecta; Diptera; Culicidae
Exons: 3
Source: RefSeq, a predicted model, not a curated record
UUAGAAGAUUCAUUUGUCGCCGGGGACCACCUCUGGAAAUUUUCUCCGAUAACGGCACGAACCUGAAAGGAGCAAGCAAAGAAUUAGCGAGAAUUAUUUGUGCAAUAAACGAAGAUUGCGGCAGCGAAUUAACAACUACUCGAACUAAAUGGAACUUUAAUCCUCCUGCCGCUCCGCAUAUGGGGGGCGUGUGGGAGCGCUUAGUGAGAUCCACUAAAGAAGCGUUGGCGGUAAUCGACGAAGGAGGCCGAUUAACCGAUGAAGUUCUGCUAACAUCGAUUUGCGAAGUAGAAGAUAUGAUAAAUUCACGGCCAUUGACCUACGUAUCACAAGAAGCCGAUGAGAUUGACACGCUGACACCAAACCAUUUUCUCAGAGGUGUAGCACCAAAUGAACCUGUGUUGACUCCACCGCCACCCUGUGCUGCCGAAGCACUCCGGAGCAACUAUCAUCGAUCGCAGCAAUUAGCAACGGAGAUGUGGAACCGAUGGUUAAAGGAAUAUAUACCUUCCGUGAACCGAAUGACCAGGUGGUAUGGAGAAGCGAAACCGUUACGAGCAGGAGAUUUAGUCUAUAUAGUGGAGGGGACUAAACGUAAGUUAUGGGUGCGCGGGGUAGUUCAAGAACCGAUAAUCGCCAGCGACGGGCGCAUUCGACAAGCAUGGAUCAAGACGAACAGUGGCGUUUUUAAAAGAGCUACAGCUGUGUUGGCUGUUCUAGAGAUAGAUGAUGGUAACACCGGGCCGACAACAGAAUCGGACCCAGAAUUACGGACCGGGGAAAUGUUGCGAACAGCCCCCCGAUCGGGCGAAAACGAUACAUUUGGCAACACUAGGCGAGAAAGAGGCACUGAGAAACAGGAAGAGAACAUGUAAACGUCACUUGGACCCGACUGGGAUAGAAAGAAGUAUUCGACCCAUAUUGGAGAGGGAAACAGAAGUUAAAGAAAAUCCUAGUGUGAGCUGGAGAAUAAAUUUAGAAAAUUAAGAUCAAAAGUAAAGAGAAGGUGAAGAUAUAAGUUCAAGUAGGAAAGAAUAGUGAGCAGAGAUAAUAAGGAAUCAUCACAGUCUAAAGGUCGCGCAUGGCUACGCACCAGACUAGGAGGAAUUUAAGAGAACACCUAAAUUCUUUGAUCUGCUAACAAGCUGAUACAAAGAGUGUUCUCUCGUGACAAAACCAACAGACCUACUAAACAUUUCACCGCUACUGAAUCGUUUUGCUUAUGCCAGCAGCACGAUCUACCAAUGGCCAUUAAAAUUACUGCAUACAAACCGCGACCUUGACCGUGCCUGGCACAGCUGAUCGCAAAAACACUGUAAAAUACGUCACCUAUUCAACCUGGUGGCAUAAGAACGGGACGACAAGCAUUCUAGCAUAUGCUACUAUACUGUAUAAGUGAAGACGCGAUCGCAGAGGCUCUCACGCUCUUUUUAUAUCGCUAACGAUAGCGUAGCUCCCAAUUUACAUACUUGCUGUAUGGCUACCAGUGAGCUAAAACUCUUUUUCAGAACAAUUAAGGUGAGUUCCAUGUGCGUAACUCUGUCUGUUUGCGUUCUACAAUUCGUCUUUGCCAUCGGUGUUGCCGCAGGCACUGCUAUUUAAUUAGUCAGGUCGUGCAAAUGUCAACUAGUUUAUUUCGCUGGUACGGAGUCACAUUA